Quercus lobata is the source of this 234-nucleotide long non-coding RNA. RefSeq lists it as uncharacterized. The transcript is spliced from 3 exons. Lineage: Eukaryota; Viridiplantae; Streptophyta; Magnoliopsida; Fagales; Fagaceae. The record is from RefSeq and is a predicted model, not a curated record.
AUUAUUUGACCCAUGGAAAUUAUGACUAUUUAUGUUUUCUAAGUUGGUGUUUAGCUUUGCUUGAAGCUUCAAGAAAAGUUAAUUUCAGAGAUCUCUUAAGACAAGGCUUGCAUCUAGAAGGUUUAAUAAGUGGACAUAUAUACUCAAUGCUUACUCAAAUUUGCGUAUAAAAAAGCUUAUGAAUUUUAAGGAGAAAGAUGGCUUUUCAUUUUGAUUGGUGAUGAACUGGACUAA